CCUACGGGCGGCAGCAGUGGGGAAUAUUGGUCAAUGGGCGCGAGCCUGAACCAGCCAAGUAGCGUGAAGGAUGACUGCCCUACGGGUUGUAAGCUUCUUUUAUAAGGGAAUAAAGUGAGGCACGUGUGCCUUUUUGUAUGUACUUUAUGAAUAGGGAUCGGCUAACGCCGUGCCAGCAGCCGCGGUAAUACGGAGGAUCCGAGCGUUAUCCGGAUUGAUUGGGUUUAAGGGGAGCGUAGAUGGGUUGUUAAGUCAGUUGUGAAAGUUUGCGGCUCAACCGUAAAAUUGCAGUGGAUACUGGCAGUCUGGAGUACAGUUGAGGUAGGCGGAAUUCGUGGUGUAGCGGUGAAAUGCUUAGAUAUCACGAAGAACUCCGAGUGCGAAGGCAGCUUACUAAACGGCCACUGACAUUGAUGCUCGAAAGUGUGGGUAUCAAACAGGAUUAGAUACCCCAGUAGUC
Molecule: ribosomal RNA, 460 nt
Filed under: uncultured bacterium
Lineage: Bacteria
Description: partial 16S ribosomal RNA
Rfam family: Bacterial small subunit ribosomal RNA
Source: RNAcentral